This 492-nucleotide ribosomal RNA is filed under the name uncultured bacterium. Its description in RNAcentral is "partial 16S ribosomal RNA". It matches the Rfam family "Bacterial small subunit ribosomal RNA", at positions 29 to 507 of the family's 1533-position model. The record is from RNAcentral.
AGUGAACGCUGGCGGUAGGCCUAACACAUGCAAGUCGAACGGCAGCACAGUAAGAGCUUGCUCUUACGGGUGGCGAGUGGCGGACGGGUGAGGAAUACAUCGGAAUCUACUUUUUCGUGGGGGAUAACGUAGGGAAACUUACGCUAAUACCGCAUACGACCUACGGGUGAAAGCAGGGGAUCUUCGGACCUUGCGCGAUUGAAUGAGCCGAUGUCGGAUUGGCUAGUUGGCGGGGUAAAGGCCCACCAAGGCGACGAUCCGUAGCUGGUCUGAGAGGAUGAUCAGCCACACUGGAACUGAGACACGGUCCAGACUCCUACGGGAGGCAGCAGUGGGGAAUAUUGGACAAUGGGCGCAAGCCUGAUCCAGCCAUACCGCGUGGGUGAAGAAGGCCUUCGGGUUGUAAAGCCCUUUUGUUGGGAAAGAAAAGCAGCAGGUUAAUACCCCGCUGUUCUGACGGUACCAAAAGAAUAAGCACCGGCUAACUUCGUG